This 71-nucleotide transfer RNA is filed under the name Photobacterium damselae subsp. piscicida. RNAcentral describes it as "tRNA-Val". It matches the Rfam family "tRNA". From Rfam's summary of the family: Transfer RNA (tRNA) molecules are approximately 80 nucleotides in length. Their secondary structure includes four short double-helical elements and three loops (D, anti-codon, and T loops). Lineage: Bacteria; Pseudomonadati; Pseudomonadota; Gammaproteobacteria; Vibrionales; Vibrionaceae. The record is from RNAcentral.
AUUAGCUCAGUUGGGAGAGCACCUCCCUUACAAGGAGGGGGUCACUGGUUCGAGCCCGGUAUCGCCCACCA